Arachis ipaensis is the source of this 802-nucleotide non-coding RNA. NCBI's taxonomy places the organism in Eukaryota, Viridiplantae, Streptophyta, Magnoliopsida, Fabales, Fabaceae. The record is from RefSeq and is a predicted model, not a curated record.
GGGAAACUAACAAGGUGACCUUUCACUGACGCUAACCUCUCCAUGGGAUCAAUGCUCUCAGUAACUCCGUCAUGAUGAUUUUCUAACUUUUUUGGAGCUAUCCCUAGAUCAAUAGUACUGUGACCUAUCUUGUCUUUCCAAAAAGCAACGCUUUGUCGGAAAGCAUAUCUGCAUACAUAAUACAAAGCAUGUAAGAACAAGAGACAAAAGAGGACGGAGCAUGACUCAUUCACCCACUCUCCUACCUGUUGUGUAUCACAUCAUUAGGAACACAAGAAAAGACAUCCUGGUAGACUCAACAACUGGAUCCAUUAUUUGAUUGGCCUGAGGAAAGAGAUGGAAAUUUGCAUUACAAACAGGGACAGAUACACUUAUAUAAUUGUGGGGAUUCGUCACUGGUUACAAAUAGGCCGUGCGAAAUGAACGCUCUCCAGAGAAUUGAAAUUUACUAACCUCUCCUGCUCCAAGACCUAAAUGCUCAGACCAUAGUGACAAUCGGAGAGUCAAGGAGAAUUUUCCUGCCUUCCAAGGCUUUCCAUCCAUAUAGGAAUCAAUCAGUUCUCUGUCUUCUAUAACUACACCAAUCUGAAAUGCAUAUGUGGGAGAAUUAAGAGGACACAAGGUGAUGCAAAAAUUAUGCUCUGAUAAACAACUUGAAAGCCCAAGUAAAGUUUUUCAAAUGACAAUCAACAGACCAAUUCCUGAAGAUUUUAAGGGUGAGAUAAUAAUUAAUCGAGAGUCCUAUGAUAAAACAAAGAACUUAUAUUGAUUCGCAAGUCUGAUGAAAAUUAUUCUGUCUUCA